Molecule: ribosomal RNA, 617 nt
Filed under: uncultured bacterium
Lineage: Bacteria
Description: bacterial SSU rRNA
Rfam family: Bacterial small subunit ribosomal RNA
Source: RNAcentral
AGAGUUUGAUCCUGGCUCAGGAUGAACGCUGGCGGCGUGCCUAAUACAUGCAAGUCGAACGCGCAGCGAGAGGUGCUUGCACCUUUCAAGCGAGUGGCGAACGGGUGAGUAACACGUGGAUAACCUGCCUCAAGGCUGGGGAUAACAUUUGGAAACAGAUGCUAAUACCGAAUAAAACUUAGUAUCGCAUGAUAUAAAGUUAAAAGGCGCUACGGCGUCACCUAGAGAUGGAUCCGCGGUGCAUUAGUUAGUUGGUGGGGUAAAGGCUUACCAAGACAAUGAUGCAUAGCCGAGUUGAGAGACUGAUCGGCCACAUUGGGACUGAGACACGGCCCAAACUCCUACGGGAGGCUGCAGUAGGGAAUCUUCCACAAUGGGCGAAAGCCUGAUGGAGCAACGCCGCGUGUGUGAUGAAGGCUUUCGGGUCGUAAAGCACUGUUGUAUGGGAAGAACAGCUAGAAUAGGGAAUGAUUUUAGUUUGACGGUACCAUACCAGAAAGGGACGGCUAAAUACGUGCCAGCAGCCGCGGUAAUACGUAUGUCCCGAGCGUUAUCCGGAUUUAUUGGGCGUAAAGCGAGCGCAGACGGUUGAUUAAGUCUGAUGUGAAAGCCCGGAG